RNAcentral lists this ribosomal RNA (253 nucleotides) under uncultured bacterium. Its description in RNAcentral is "partial 16S ribosomal RNA". It matches the Rfam family "Bacterial small subunit ribosomal RNA", at positions 524 to 776 of the family's 1533-position model. The record is from RNAcentral.
GACGUAGGAUGCGAGCGUUUUCCGGAUUCAUUGGGCGUAAAGAGUUCGUAGGCGGUUUGUUAAGUCUGAUGUUAAAGAUCGGGGCUCAACCUCGGGAGUGCAUUGGAUACUGGCAGACUUGAGUGCAGUAGAGGCGAGUGGAAUUCCCAGUGUAGCGGUGAAAUGCGUAGAUAUUGGGAAGAACACCGGUGGCGCAGGCGACUCGCUGGGCUGUAACUGACGCUGAGGAACGAAAGCUAGGGGAGCAAAUGGG